RNAcentral lists this transfer RNA (64 nucleotides) under Epilampra maya. RNAcentral's name for it is "tRNA-His". Lineage: Eukaryota; Metazoa; Arthropoda; Insecta; Blattodea; Blaberidae. The record is from RNAcentral.
ACUUAAGUAGUUUAUAUAAAACUUCGGAUUGUGGUGUCGAUAAAAUACUUUUGUAUCUUAGGUU